Molecule: RNA transcript, 6437 nt
Organism: Brassica napus (rape)
Lineage: Eukaryota; Viridiplantae; Streptophyta; Magnoliopsida; Brassicales; Brassicaceae
Gene name: peroxisomal adenine nucleotide carrier 2-like
Exons: 4
Source: RefSeq, a predicted model, not a curated record
AAUUAUUUGAUAUUUUACCCUAAAUAAUCGAUAUUUUAUCUGAACCGAACUAUAUGAACUAUCCGAACCCAAACCGGAACCAAAUGAGAAUCAAAUAUUUUCUGGGUAUUUUCUGAUUCUUAGUUUUACUAUCCGAACUAAACCGAAAAUAAGUCAAGUAGUAAAUAGAUCCUCUAACUCUCUACUCGAACUAUCCGAAAUCUGAAAUAUCCAAACCGAACCGAACUCCGAAAGGCCUGUUCCGAAAAUAAGCCAAGUGGUAAAUAGAUCCCUUAGCUCUCUACCCGAACUAUGAAAUAUGGAUGGAUGCAGCUUGGUGUCUAAUGGGCUCACCGAGCCCAGUUUAAAACAUUAAAAAAACACGUGGCGCCACUUUUUAUUGUUAGAUUUUUCUCAUUUUAAAAUAUCUCAGAGCAUCAGCAUCGGGGUCCCUUAAGGCAGGGCCCUUAAGAAAUUUGGGUCGAAAAUAAAUCCAAAAGAAAAGAAAAUGAGUGGAACGGGCCUAAAAUAAGGGAUGAUGGGCUCGUCCCGUGAGGCUACGUGUCGGGUCGGGAUUGGGAGAUGAAAUCGUCGCGUUUGUCUGUGUCUUCGCGUCAAUCUCAUUAUGAAACACAAAUGUGAAAUACGAAAUGAAGAAGGCGAUAAGCUGAUCUCCUCAGAUCGAUCUCUCUUUCACCUGAGUUUCUGUCGGCGUGUCUCCUCAAUCGAAAGCCCAACUCACCACCACGAGAGAUCGCAGCUUCCGUUGGCGUUUGAUCCGCAGAUCGAGAUCCCGAGCUCCAUAGACUUCCGUUCGAUUCCGGUCUUGUAUGAAGGGUCUCAUCUUCCCCAAAUCGUCUGAAACUCUACCCGAGCUCAAUCCUUAGCCGUUACCGAGGUAUUUUCUUUAACUCCCAUCUGAAAUUGAAAAUUAUAGGGUUUAGGAAUAGUGCAUGCUGAGUAGUGGUAUAGAUUCUAUGUUGUUCGAGAACAAUUGUACAGAUUCUAGGGUUCGCAAAUGUUUCCUACUUUCGUAUAGAUUUUUAAAAAUUUAAAUGGUUGGAUUGUGUGAUUAUUUUCGAUGUAGCUUGAUUGAUUGUUUUGUAUAGAUUGAACUAUUGUAGUCGUUGUAGCUCGUUUGAUUGUUUCGUAUUGUAGCUUGUUUGAUUGUCUCGUUUAGAUUGAACCGUUGAGUUUGGUUGUAGCUUGUUUGAUUGUUUGAGAUCAAAAACUAGACUCCGUAUUUGUAUGGUUCGAGAACAAAUGUAUAACAAAUCAGUAACUGAUUUUAGCAACAUGAAAGAACUGUUUGAUAGUUUAGUUUCGAUGCUUUGGAUCCUAUAACUGGUUUUGUGUCUCCGCGUAGCCAUAGUUCAUAGAUCAAAUAUGUGAAAUCGUUUACUUAAUAGUUCAUAUAAGAAUAAAUGUAGCUUCUAUACUUCAUCUUUCAAGUCGUCUCUUGUUUUAUUUUUUUAAAAAAUUCAAUACAAGGGAUGUUGUUACGAUUUAAAACUUGAAUACUAAUUUGAAGUUGUGUGUGGUAGUUGUAUAUUAAAGACACUGACAUCAUUUUCUGCUUAGUUAGGAUGUAUACAGUAGGUUUUAAACGAAAUCCGCUUACAUUAAUGAUGUUGUUAGGAAAGUUGAUAGUUUUUUUUGGUGUAAUAAGUUAGGAUUUGACAUUUCUUGUUGGGAGUUCACCAUUAUGAGUUUAUAGACUUCACUUGAGGCUAUAAAAUCUCUUAUCUCUUAUCUCUUAUCUCUUCUAUCUCAUAACUCUUUCUCCAUUCUAUCUCUUAUCUUACUCUCUUGUAUGGAUCCAAGAAAUCUUCCUAGUCAGUCCUCUAGCUACGUAGGACUGCUUCACAGUCAACAAGGAAGCGUUUAUCAUGAAAACUUCUCUUAUGGAAGUUUUCAUUCUAGUGUCAACUUUGGAGAAUCCGAUACAUUUCCGGCUUUCAGUUCUCAACAACCUGAAGACGCACCAGUCGACGCACCAGUAGACGCACAAGCUGCCCGUCCUGUAAGACGCAAGUGGAACCCUGCAGAUGACGAGGUGCUGAUCAGUGUGUGGCUCAACACUUCGAAGGAUUCGAUUGUUGCAAAUGAGCAGAGUUCGGGGGCCUUCUGGACACGGGUUGCUAAGUAUUAUGCAGAGAGUGCUCAUGGAAGAGAGGAUGGUGUGAGAGAGCAAGGUUGUUGCAAGAAGAGGUGGCAUAGAAUCAAUGAUGACGUUAACAAGUUCUGUGGCGCAUACUCGGCAGCUCAGCGACAAAUUAGCAGUGGUGAGUCUGACACAGACGUUCUGAAGAAGGCGCAUGAAAUUUUCUUCUCUGAUCAACAGCACAAGUUUACCCUUGAACAUGCUUGGUGUGUGUUGAGGUUUGAACAGAAGUGGCUCAGCCUUAACACACCCAAAGCUGGUGGCGUUUCAAAGAGGAAGAAUGUGCAGACAGAUUCCCAAACUUCUACCAACGAAGGCUUCGUUGAUGUUGAGAGCAGGCCCGAAGGUGUCAAGGCUGCUAAGGCUAAAAGAAAUACGGGUAAAGGGAAGUCCAUGGCUGAGAUUGCAACAGUUUGGGAAAUGAAGAAGGACGAUUUGGUGAGGAAGGAGAGACUGUCGAGGCUAGCAAUACUAGACACUCUCCUUACCAAGCAUGUUCCAUUGACUGAGAGGGAAGAAUCUGCGAAGAAUAAGCUCCUAGCCGAGUUAUUUUGAAAAAAAAUUAGAUGUUCUUGUUUCUAGUUCUUGUAUGUCGUCACUUUCAAUGUUUGUGUUAUUGUUUAUGUGUAUAUUUCUAUGUAGUUCCCGUAAUAUUCAAUGAAUGAUUUUCUUUCAAUGUUUGUGUUAUUGUUUAUGUGUAUAUUUCUAUGUUUCUAACUAGUAUGCCUUUAUGUUUCUAACAUGGCUCGACAAUGUCUGCAGGUUAAGUAUCUGAAAAUGGGACGUUACAGCUACUCGCAGCCAUCAGAAGACGAGCCAUUAUUUGGAAACAAUGAUGACAGUGGCUACAGCGAGACAGAGGAUCUCAUACGACGCGACCAAGCUGAGUUAAGCUUGGAACGUAGUUCACAAGUUCACUACCCUCCGCAACCGGAGGUAGAGUUUGGUUUCCCGCAGGUCUGCUAUUGUGGUGCUCACCCAGUGCUUGCAACAUCUAACUCCAGGAAUGAUCAAGGUAUGUACUAUGGUAGUUGCUUAAGUACUUAGCAUGUGAAGAAGGAUUGAUUAUCGAGUUUUUGCGUAUGUUAAACAGGGAGAAGAUUUUACACUUGCGCAAAUAAGGACGAUGGCGAUUGCCAUAUUUUCAAAUGGUGGGAUGAGGCGGUGAUGGAUGAGAUGAGAGCCAGAGAUAUACACGUGUUUCAGCUAUCUGAAAAGGUAGAUAGCCUAACCCUUUUACCUGACUAUGACACUGAGGAGAAGCUACGAAAGCUAGAGAAGAUGGUGGGUGAUUUGGCUAAGGAGAAAUCAUGUAUGAUAAAGGGGUUUGAGUGCUUUGUAAUAGUCAUAGUUGUUCUUGUUGUGGUAAUAGGCUUGCUGGUUAUGUUAGUCUAAUGUUUGAUAGUUUCAAUGUAUGGAUUCCGUUUCUUUGCAAAGCACAUGACGCUUUUGUUCUCAACAUUCACAUGUUCAGUUCCUUUGUACCAAUAAGUCACAUGAUCCAUAGCACAUGUUUAUUUAGCUUCCUACCAAUAAGUCACAAGUUGUACUAAAGAAAAAUAAUUCUAUCACGGGAGGUUUGUAGAAACUUCAUCUUUAUCAUAUAAAUAAGUAUUGAGUUUUAUUCUCUCAUUACAAAUGUGCAAAGUCUCAUCUUCUCUUAAAUUUCAAAACAUUUUUUCCCUUUAAAAAAAUUGUCAAUGGCAUCUUCUUCCCAUUAUCAUUACCACAAAGAUGAUGAUGAUGAAUUAGAUGACAUUUUUGAAGAUUUAUUUGAAGAUUUUGAUUUCAAUCCCACACCAAAAGAACGAAAAAAACGAGUUUUUAUCGAGAGACACCGGGAGGAAGGCCAUCAGAAGCUCUGGAAUGAUUAUUUUAGCGAAACUCCAACAUACCCGCACAAUUUAUUCCGGCGACGGUUUCGAAUGAACAAGGAAUUAUUCUUGCAUAUUGUGCAUCGUCUCUCUACAGAAGUCGAGUAUUUUCAACCCGGAGUAGAUGCAACCGGACGAUCGAGUCUAACUCCGCUCCAAAAAUGUACCGCAGCAAUUCGUCAAUUGGCGUAUGGUGGUGGUUCCGACACCGUUGACGAAUAUGUCCGAAUUGGUGAAACAACGGCAAGAAGAUGUUUGCACAAUUUUGCCGCGGGAAUAAUCGACUUGUUUGGCGGUGAAUACCUAAGACGUCCCACACCGGAGGAUCUGCAAAGACUACUUUCUAGUGGAGAACAACGUGGGUUUCCAGGGAUGAUUGGAAGCAUCGACUGUAUGCAUUGGGAGUGGAAGAAUUGUCCAACGGCUUGGAAAGGAAUGUAUUCACGAGGAUCCGGAAAACCAACGAUUGUCUUGGAGGCGGUAGCUUCCUAUGACCUCUGGAUAUGGCACGCGUUUUUUGGAGCUCCAGGUACUAUGAACGAUCUUAAUAUUCUCGAUCGAUCACCCGUUUUUGAUGACAUUAUUAACGGAAUAGCGCCACAAGUUAACUUCUAUGUUAAUGGUACUCCAUACCAUUAUGCAUAUUAUCUCACGGAUGGUAUUUAUCCGAAAUGGGCUACAUUUAUUCAAUCUAUCCGACUACCACAAAAUCAGAAGCAUUCAUUAUUUGCUCAAACCCAAGAAGCUGUGAGAAAAGAUGUCGAGCGUGCCUUCGGAGUCCUACAAGCUAGGUUUGCCGUUGUUAGAAAUCCAUCUAAUAUAUGGGAUAAAGAAAAAAUAGGAAAUAUUAUGAGAGCAUGUAUCAUACUCCAUAAUAUGAUUGUCGAAGAUGAACGAGCAUCAAGAACGAAUUACAACGUUGAUGAAUUUGAAGAAGAUGUGCAAACAUUUUCCGUCAAUAUGCCUUCAACUGUCGGGAGUACACUUGAACGUCGAACGAGCGUUCGGAAUAGACAAGUCCAUCAACAUUUAAAAAAUGAUUUGAUUGAAAAUAUAUGGACUAAAUUUGGAAAUCCUUGAAAUAAUAUAUAAUUUGUAUUUUCUUUCAAUAAUGUCAUUUUCUUAUGUUUUCUAUUUUUUUUAUGAUGUUUGUAUUUUCUUUCAAAAAUGUAAUUUUCUUAUGUUUUCAAUUUUAAUAUUACAUUUUUAUUUUUAAUGUUUUAUUUAAAAAUUAUAUAUGUCAUUAUUUAUUAAUUAAAAUAAUAAAUUAAAUUAACUAAGGGACAAUAUAAGUCUCACCAAUAAUCAAGUAAUUUAACCAAAUCCCUUAGUCUAGUCCCUAAGCAAAAAAUAAUAAUAAAGAUUAGUUAAGGGCCUAAAAUAAGUACCACCUAUAAAGAUGCUCUCAUAACCCAUACCUUCUUCCUCAUCUCUCCAUCAUCUCUUCUACGCUUAUCCUCUCUCUUUGCGGUGCUAAUAGGUAGGUGAGAAGAUGGGCGUUGAUCUGGAAUCUAUCUCGGAGGCCACCUCCGGAGCUAUAGGAUCCCUUCUGAGCACAACCAUCUUAUACCCUCUCGACACCUGCAAAUCCAAGUACCAAGCCGAGAUCAGUGUCCCCGGUAACCACAAAUACAGGUUAUAACGCCACGAUCAUCUCAAAAAUUCGCAAUUGCCUGUUUAUCUAUAUCGAUCUGGAUCGUAACAUUGACUUGGACGCAUAUCAGAUGUCUUUUGGGAAGCCAUUUCUUCAGGGAACGUUCUCUCGUUGUAUCAAGGCCUAGGGACUAAGAACGUGCAGUCCUUUGUUUCCUCGUUCAUCUACUUUUAUAGUUACAGCUACUUCAAGAGGUUGCAUAGUGAGAGGAUUGGUUCUAAGUCGAUUGGCACAACGGCUAACCUCCUCAUCGCUGCUGCUUCUGCUGCUUUUACUAAUAUAUUGACCCAAGUAACGUUUUUUUUUUAGCAGGGACUUGUCUUCUCUACGUUCUCUAUACUAACCCUCCUCAUAGCCUCUUGAUACAGCUUCGUCGAGGAUGCAAACAAGCGAGUUUGGGAAUGCAAAAGGGUUUUGGAAGACGUUAACCGAGGGUACUUGGGGAGAUGCUUAUGAUGGCAUGGGGAUUACUCUUUUACUCACCCCUAAUCCUGCUAUUCAGUAUACAGUGUUUGAUCAGCUGAAACAGAACCUCGUUGAGAAAAGAAAGGCUAAAGCCAACAAAGACUCUUCCCCUGUAGUCAUCUCUUCCUUCAUGGCCUUCUUGUUGGGUGCCAUCUCUAAAUCUGCUGCUACCGUCAUCACUUAUCCACUAAUCAGAUGCAAGGUGAUGAUUCAAGCAGCAGAUGACACAAAGGAUAAUGAAGCGAAGAAGCCACGAGAAAGAAUCAAGAAAACGAUUCCAGGGGUCAUCUAUGCUAUAUGG